This 21-nucleotide non-coding RNA is filed under the name Caenorhabditis elegans. The record is from RNAcentral. Lineage: Eukaryota; Metazoa; Nematoda; Chromadorea; Rhabditida; Rhabditidae.
UGUUUUCAAAUCAGAAGAGCU